AUUGAACGCUGGCGGCAUGCUUUACACAUGCAAGUCGAACGGCAGCGCGGGCUUCGGCCUGGCGGCGAGUGGCGAACGGGUGAGUAAUGCAUCGGAACGUGCCCAGUAGUGGGGGAUAGCCCAGCGAAAGCCGGAUUAAUACCGCAUACGACCUGAGGGUGAAAGCGGGGGACCGAAAGGCCUCGCGCUAUUGGAGCGGCCGAUGUCGGAUUAGCUAGUUGGUGGGGUAAAGGCUUACCAAGGCGACGAUCCGUAGCUGGUCUGAGAGGACGACCAGCCACACUGGGACUGAGACACGGCCCAGACUCCUACGGGAGGCAGCAGUGGGGAAUUUUGGACAAUGUGGGCAACCCUGAUCCAGCCAUGCCGCGUGCGGGAAGAAGGCCUUCGGGUUGUAAACCGCUUUUGUUCGGGAAGAAAUCCUCUGGGCUAAUACCCCGGGGGGAUGACGGUACCGGAAGAAUAAGCACCGGCUAACUACGUG
RNAcentral lists this ribosomal RNA (484 nucleotides) under uncultured bacterium. RNAcentral's name for it is "partial 16S ribosomal RNA". It matches the Rfam family "Bacterial small subunit ribosomal RNA", at positions 29 to 507 of the family's 1533-position model. The record is from RNAcentral.